GCGCCCGUAGCUCAGCUGGAUAGAGUGUUUGGCUACGAACCAAAAGGUCGGGGGUUCGAAUCCCUCCGGGCGCG
Molecule: transfer RNA, 74 nt
Filed under: Candidatus Gastranaerophilales bacterium
Lineage: Bacteria; Bacillati; Candidatus Melainabacteria; Candidatus Gastranaerophilales
Also listed under: 1 other name
Description: tRNA-Arg
Rfam family: tRNA
About the family: Transfer RNA (tRNA) molecules are approximately 80 nucleotides in length. Their secondary structure includes four short double-helical elements and three loops (D, anti-codon, and T loops). Further hydrogen bonds mediate the characteristic L-shaped molecular structure. tRNAs have two regions of fundamental functional importance: the anti-codon, which is responsible for specific mRNA codon recognition, and the 3' end, to which the tRNAs corresponding amino acid is attached (by aminoacyl-tRNA synthetases). tRNAs cope with the degeneracy of the genetic code in two manners: having more than one tRNA (with a specific anti-codon) for a particular amino acid; and 'wobble' base-pairing, i.e. permitting non-standard base-pairing at the 3rd anti-codon position.
Source: RNAcentral